RNAcentral lists this unclassified non-coding RNA (994 nucleotides) under Hevea brasiliensis (rubber tree). The record is from RNAcentral. Lineage: Eukaryota; Viridiplantae; Streptophyta; Magnoliopsida; Malpighiales; Euphorbiaceae.
CUAAAUAUAAAUAGGAAAAAUACAAAAUACAUUUGUAUAUUGUCUGGUGAAAAAAAAUUAUAGUACUAUAAUUUUAUAAAUUAAGAAGUUAAAAUGAACAAUUAGUGACAAUUUUUUUAGAUAGAAAAAAAAUUUUUAUAUUCCUAUAUUCAUUAAUCUUUAUAAUGUGAUUUUUUUUACAUUUUCUUAUUUUAUAAUAUUAGUUUAUUAAGUAAAAUGCAUUUUAUUAUAAAUAAAAUUAUUUUAAAAAAAUAAUAUGCGGCAGGGAAAAAAAAUAAUAACUUCAACCAGCAGUAUCAUUGAGAGGCAGAGCUCUAGCCACUGUACUCUCACCAUAUUUUUGAAGGAUCGGGAGGCCAUGAAAGCAGCGGCAUAAUGUACCCGAGUCACCCAAACUCAAAAGGAAAACGAAAAUCAUCACUAAAGCAUAACAAUCAACGCUAGAAAGAAACAACCAUGAGUAGAUCAAGACCUCACAUCCCUCUCUUCGAAGUUCGAAUCUACAACCAAAACGAAAAGCAAUAUUUACAGCCCACACGAUGGUGGGGAGGGAAAUCCACUAUUGUGCAGGAGGAGGAGGAGGAGGCCUCCUCCACUCGGAUGGAGCAGAGGAGGCCGCUAAAUCCAGGGAGACAGAGACAGACGCUCCCAGAGAAGAAACAAACAUAGAAAAAUCUCUCUCUAAGGAGAGAGAGGCCGAAGUCUCUUUAUCUGUAUACUGGGCUCUCAAUUUAAACAAAAACAAACCAUUUUUCAAAUUAAAUAUGGAUAGAUCUGCUUCCUUCAAGUAGCGAUGAAUCUACUUCCUUUUCUUGGGAAAUUCUUUCCAAUGAACACGUCUGUGAGAACUGUAUCAGACUCUAACGAGGCCUUCACUAUCUCCAAGCACUUGUUGAGAUCAAUCUUGACCUCCCGAAAGCUAGUAUCAUUGACAUUGAAUUUCUUGAGGAGAUCAACAAGAUAAAUACUUGACAGUGGGAACACCCUUAAAUCA